RNAcentral lists this transfer RNA (84 nucleotides) under Nitrososphaerota archaeon. RNAcentral's name for it is "tRNA-Ser". It matches the Rfam family "tRNA". Rfam says of the family: Transfer RNA (tRNA) molecules are approximately 80 nucleotides in length. Their secondary structure includes four short double-helical elements and three loops (D, anti-codon, and T loops). The record is from RNAcentral. Lineage: Archaea; Thermoproteati; Nitrososphaerota. RNAcentral also lists the same sequence under 1 other name.
GCCGGGAUAGCAGAGUGGCCAAAUGCGCGGGCCUUGAGAGCCCGUGACCUUCGGGUCUCGGGGGUUCGAAUCCCUCUCCCGGCG